RNAcentral lists this ribosomal RNA (253 nucleotides) under uncultured bacterium. RNAcentral describes it as "partial 16S ribosomal RNA". It matches the Rfam family "Bacterial small subunit ribosomal RNA", at positions 524 to 776 of the family's 1533-position model. The record is from RNAcentral.
UACAGAGGGUGCAAGCGUUAAUCGGAGUUACUGGGCGUAAAGGGCGUGUAGGCGGGUAUGUAAGUCUUAUGUGAAAGCCCCGGGCUUAACCUGGGAAUUGCAUGAGAAACUGUAUAUCUAGAGAUAAGUAGAGGGUGACGGAAUUUCCGGUGUAGCGGUGAAAUGCGUAGAUAUCGGAAGGAACACCAGUGGCGAAGGCGGUCACCUGGACUUAUACUGACGCUGAGGCGCGAAAGCAUGGGGAGCGAACAGG